UCUCUGGAGGAGCUAUAACCGAGGAUACACUGAUGGUUCCUCCACGGAUGCAUUUCUGGGAACGGUGUACAUCUGACCGGGUGACGACAUUUCCUAUUGACGCAACAACCACUACAUCCCCAACCAUAGUGGAAUGCUGUUGUAAAGGAUUGCAUUGAUCCGUGCAUCAAUACCUUCACCCAGCUUUGAGGCCUCCAAUGAAUGAACAUCAUCUUGUGGCUGGGAAAAAUGUGAACAAAUAAAUCUCACAAAGAGUGA
This is a long non-coding RNA of Gymnodraco acuticeps, 258 nucleotides long. RefSeq lists it as uncharacterized. NCBI's taxonomy places the organism in Eukaryota, Metazoa, Chordata, Actinopteri, Perciformes, Bathydraconidae. The transcript has 2 exons. The record is from RefSeq and is a predicted model, not a curated record.